This 351-nucleotide ribosomal RNA is filed under the name uncultured bacterium. RNAcentral describes it as "bacterial SSU rRNA". It matches the Rfam family "Bacterial small subunit ribosomal RNA", at positions 32 to 361 of the family's 1533-position model. The record is from RNAcentral.
AAUCAACGCUGGCGGCGUGCCUCAGACAUGCAAGUCGAACGCGAAAGUUCCCUUCGGGGAGCGAGUAGAGUGGCGCACGGGUGAGUAACACGUAGGUAAUCUACCUCAGGGUGGGGAAUAACAGCCGGAAACGGCUGCUAAUACCGCAUAAUGCAGCGGCACCACAUGGUGACAGUUGUUAAAGCGGGGGAGUCGUAAGACCUCGCGCCUGGAGAUGAGCCUGCGGCGGAUUAGCUAGUUGGCAGGGUAACGGCCUACCAAGGCAACGAUCCGUAGCCGGCCUGAGAGGGCGGACGGCCACACUGGCACUGACAUACGGGCCAGACUCCUACGGGAGGCAGCAGUCGGGAA